ACCUGUGUAGCUCAGUCAGUGAAGCGUCUGACUUCGGCUCAGGGCAUGAUCUCGCGGUCUGUGAGUUCAAGCCCCACCGCGGGCU
This 85-nucleotide transfer RNA is filed under the name Felis catus (domestic cat). It matches the Rfam family "tRNA". From Rfam's summary of the family: Transfer RNA (tRNA) molecules are approximately 80 nucleotides in length. Their secondary structure includes four short double-helical elements and three loops (D, anti-codon, and T loops). RNAcentral also lists the same sequence under 2 other names. Lineage: Eukaryota; Metazoa; Chordata; Mammalia; Carnivora; Felidae. The record is from Rfam by way of RNAcentral.